CGUAACAAGGUCUCCGUUGGUGAACCAGCGGAGGGAUCAUUACUGAGUUUACGCUCUACAACCCUUUGUGAACAUACCUAUAACUGUUGCUUCGGCGGGUAGGGUCUCCGCGACCCUCCCGGCCUCCCGCCUCCGGGCGGGUCGGCGCCCGCCGGAGGAUAACCAAACUCUGAUUUAACGACGUUUCUUCUGAGUGGUACAAGCAAAUAAUCAAAACUUUUAACAACGGAUCUCUUGGUUCUGGCAUCGAUGAAGAACGCAGCGAAAUGCGAUAAGUAAUGUGAAUUGCAGAAUUCAGUGAAUCAUCGAAUCUUUGAACGCACAUUGCGCCCGCCAGCAUUCUGGCGGGCAUGCCUGUUCGAGCGUCAUUUCAACCCUCAAGCUCUGCUUGGUGUUGGGGCCCUACAGCUGAUGUAGGCCCUCAAAGGUAGUGGCGGACCCUCUCGGAGCCUCCUUUGCGUAGUAACUUUACGUCUCGCACUGGGAUCCGGAGGGACUCUUGCCGUAAAACCCCCAAUUUUCCAAAGGUUGACCUCGGAUCAGGUAGGAAUACCCCGCUGAACUUAAGCAUAUCAAUA
This 578-nucleotide ribosomal RNA is filed under the name Colletotrichum sp. ITCC 6156. RNAcentral describes it as "eukaryotic LSU rRNA". The stretch from base 215 to 368 matches the Rfam family "5.8S ribosomal RNA". Lineage: Eukaryota; Fungi; Ascomycota; Sordariomycetes; Glomerellales; Glomerellaceae. The record is from RNAcentral.